This 440-nucleotide ribosomal RNA is filed under the name uncultured Brochothrix sp. RNAcentral describes it as "bacterial SSU rRNA". It matches the Rfam family "Bacterial small subunit ribosomal RNA", at positions 358 to 790 of the family's 1533-position model. The record is from RNAcentral. Lineage: Bacteria; Bacillati; Bacillota; Bacilli; Caryophanales; Listeriaceae.
GGAAUCUUCGGCAAUGGACGAAAGUCUGACCGAGCAACGCCGCGUGAGCGAAGAAGGCCUUCGGGUCGUAAAGCUCUGUUGUUAGAGAAGAACAUGGGUGAGAGUAACUGUUCACCCCUUGACGGUAUCUAACCAGAAAGCCACGGCUAACUACGUGCCAGCAGCCGCGGUAAUACGUAGGUGGCAAGCGUUGUCCGGAAUUAUUGGGCGUAAAGCGCGCGCAGGCGGUCUCUUAAGUCUGAUGUGAAAGCCCCCGGCUCAACCGGGGAGGGUCAUUGGAAACUGGGAGACUUGAGGACAGAAGAGGAGAGUGGAAUUCCAAGUGUAGCGGUGAAAUGCGUAGAUAUUUGGAGGAACACCAGUGGCGAAGGCGGCUCUCUGGUCUGUUACUGACGCUGAGGCGCGAAAGCGUGGGGAGCAAACAGGAUUAGAUACCCGAG